UAGUGAAUUACCUGGUGGUAGAAG
Molecule: non-coding RNA, 24 nt
Filed under: Mus musculus (house mouse)
Lineage: Eukaryota; Metazoa; Chordata; Mammalia; Rodentia; Muridae
Source: RNAcentral